Molecule: ribosomal RNA, 508 nt
Filed under: uncultured bacterium
Lineage: Bacteria
Description: bacterial SSU rRNA
Rfam family: Bacterial small subunit ribosomal RNA
Source: RNAcentral
AGAGUUUGAUCCUGGCUCAGGACGAACGCUGGCGGCGUGCUUAACACAUGCAAGUCAAGGGGGGGUAGCAAUACUCAACCGGCGAACGGGUGCGUAACACGUGAGCGACCUACCUUAAGGCGGGGGAUAGCCGGCCCAACGGCCGGGUAAUACCGCAUACGCUCUCCUUUGGGCAUCUGGGGGAGAGGAAACUUUCGAGGCCUUUAGAGGGGCUCGCGGCCUAUCAGCUAGUUGGCGGGGUAAUGGCCCACCAAGGCAGUGACGGGUAGCUGGUCUGAGAGGAUGGCCAGCCACAUUGGGACUGAGAGACGGCCCAGACUCCUACGGGAGGCAGCAGUGGGGAAUCUUGCGCAAUGGCCUAACGGCUGACGCAGCGACGCCGCGUGGGGGAGGAAGGGCUUCGGCUCGUAAACCCCUGUUGCCCGGGGCGAACAGCUUCUUUCGAGGAGCCUGACGGUACCGGGUGAGGAAGCACCGGCUAACUCCGUGCCAGCAGCCGCGGUAAUAC